This 73-nucleotide transfer RNA is filed under the name Pleuronectes platessa (European plaice). It matches the Rfam family "tRNA". From Rfam's summary of the family: Transfer RNA (tRNA) molecules are approximately 80 nucleotides in length. Their secondary structure includes four short double-helical elements and three loops (D, anti-codon, and T loops). Lineage: Eukaryota; Metazoa; Chordata; Actinopteri; Pleuronectiformes; Pleuronectidae. The record is from Rfam by way of RNAcentral.
UGUUCAAUGGUGUAAUGGUCAGCACUCUGGACUUUUGAUCCAGUUGAUCCGAGUUCAAGUCUCGGUUGAACCU